This 423-nucleotide ribosomal RNA is filed under the name uncultured prokaryote. RNAcentral describes it as "bacterial SSU rRNA". It matches the Rfam family "Bacterial small subunit ribosomal RNA", at positions 355 to 796 of the family's 1533-position model. The record is from RNAcentral.
UGGGGAAUAUUGGACAAUGGGGGCAACCCUGAUCCAGCCAUGCCGCGUGCGUGAAGAAGGCCUUAGGGUUGUAAAGCGCUUUCAGCGGGGACGAUGAUGACGGUACCCGCAGAAGAAGCCCCGGCUAACUCCGUGCCAGCAGCCGCGGUAAUACGGAGGGGGCAAGCGUUGUUCGGAAUUACUGGGCGUAAAGGGCGCGUAGGCGGCAUAUCAAGUCAGAGGUGAAAGCCCCGGGCUCAACCUGGGAAUUGCACUUGAUACGGGCCGGUUUGAGGACGAGAGAGGAGUGUGGAAUUCCCAGUGUAGAGGUGAAAUUCGUAGAUAUUGGGAAGAACACCAGUGGCGAAGGCGGCACUCUGGCUCGUAUCUGACGCUGAGGCGCGAAAGCGUGGGAGCAAACAGGAUUAGAUACCCCCGUAGUCC